GGUAUCAGAAGUGCGAAUGCUGACAUAAGUAACGAUAAAGCGGGUGAAAAGCCCGCUCGCCGGAAGACCAAGGGUUCCUGUCCAACGUUAAUCGGGGCAGGGUGAGUCGACCCCUAAGGCGAGGCCGAAAGGCGUAGUCGAUGGGAAACGGGUUAAUAUUCCCGUACUUGGUGUUACUGCGAAGGGGGGACGGAGAAGGCUAUGUUGGCCGGGCGACGGUUGUCCCGGUUUAAGCGUGUAGGUGUGUGUUCCAGGUAAAUCCGGUUCACUUUAACACUGAGGCGUGACGACGAGGCACUACGGUGCUGAAGCAACAAAUGCCCUGCUUCCAGGAAAAGCCUCUAAGCAUCAGGUAACAUCAAAUCGUACCCCAAACCGACACAGGUGGUCAGGUAGAGAAUACCAAGGCGCUUGAGAGAACUCGGGUGAAGGAACUAGGCAAAAUGGUGCCGUAACUUCGGGAGAAGGCACGCUGACACGUAGGUGAAGUGAUUUACUCAUGGAGCUGAAGUCAGUCGAAGAUACCAGCUGGCUGCAACUGUUUAUUAAAAACACAGCACUGUGCAAACACGAAAGUGGACGUAUACGGUGUGACGCCUGCCCGGUGCCGGAAGGUUAAUUGAUGGGGUCAGCGCAAGCGAAGCUCCUGAUCGAAGCCCCGGUAAACGGCGGCCGUAACUAUAACGGUCCUAAGGUAGCGAAAUUCCUUGUCGGGUAAGUUCCGACCUGCACGAAUGGCGUAAUGAUGGCCAGGCUGUCUCCACCCGAGACUCAGUGAAAUUGAACUCGCUGUGAAGAUGCAGUGUACCCGCGGCAAGACGGAAAGACCCCGUGAACCUUUACUAUAGCUUGACACUGAACAUUGAGCCUUGAUGUGUAGGAUAGGUGGGAGGCUUUGAAGCGUGGACGCCAGUCUGCAUGGAGCCGACCUUGAAAUACCACCCUUUAAUGUUUGAUGUUCUAACGUGGACCCGUUACCCGGGUUGCGGACAGUGUCUGGUGGGUAGUUUGACUGGGGCGGUCUCCUCCUAAAGAGUAACGGAGGAGCACGAAGGUUGGCUAAUCCUGGUCGGACAUCAGGAGGUUAGUGCAAUGGCAUAAGCCAGCUUGACUGCGAGCGUGACGGCGCGAGCAGGUGCGAAAGCAGGUCAUAGUGAUCCGGUGGUUCUGAAUGGAAGGGCCAUCGCUCAACGGAUAAAAGGUACUCCGGGGAUAACAGGCUGAUACCGCCCAAGAGUUCAUAUCGACGGCGGUGUUUGGCACCUCGAUGUCGGCUCAUCACAUCCUGGGGCUGAAGUAGGUCCCAAGGGUAUGGCUGUUCGCCAUUUAAAGUGGUACGCGAGCUGGGUUUAGAACGUCGUGAGACAGUUCGGUCCCUAUCUGCCGUGGGCGCUGGAGAACUGAGGGGGGCUGCUCCUAGUACGAGAGGACCGGAGUGGACGCAUCACUGGUGUUCGGGUUGUCAUGCCAAUGGCACUGCCCGGUAGCUAAAUGCGGAAGAGAUAAGUGCUGAAAGCAUCUAAGCACGAAACUUGCCCCGAGAUGAGUUCU
This 1551-nucleotide ribosomal RNA is filed under the name Salmonella enterica subsp. enterica serovar Heidelberg str. CFSAN00327. Its description in RNAcentral is "bacterial LSU rRNA". It matches the Rfam family "Bacterial large subunit ribosomal RNA", at positions 1278 to 2812 of the family's 2925-position model. Lineage: Bacteria; Pseudomonadati; Pseudomonadota; Gammaproteobacteria; Enterobacterales; Enterobacteriaceae. The record is from RNAcentral.